This 302-nucleotide ribosomal RNA is filed under the name uncultured bacterium. RNAcentral describes it as "partial 16S ribosomal RNA". It matches the Rfam family "Bacterial small subunit ribosomal RNA", at positions 508 to 807 of the family's 1533-position model. The record is from RNAcentral.
GCAGCCGCCGCGGUAAUGCGUAGGUGGCAAGCGUUGCCCGGAAUUAUUGGGCGUAAAGGGCUCGCAGGCGGUUUCUUAAGUCUGAUGUGAAAGCCCCCGGCUCAACCGGGGAGGGUCAUUGGAAACUGGGAAACUUGAGUGCAGAAGAGGAGAGUGGAAUUCCACGUGUAGCGGUGAAAUGCGUAGAGAUGUGGAGGAACACCAGUGGCGAAGGCGACUCUCUGGUCUGUAACUGACGCUGAGGAGCGAAAGCGUGGGGAGUGAACAGGAUUAGAUACCCGCGUAGUCCCUGUCUCUUAUAC